GUUGGACUAUGGAGGAAUCGCUGAUCCAGUCCACCCGCGUGGAUGGUGCAGGCCUGCGGUUCGUAAUGUACUUUUGGAUGAUCAUGGAAGGUAUCUUCUUAUACGAUAUCCUGCAGACUGUAUUAUCAGACUAAGCGCCGCCUAACUCCGUUCAAUCAGCCGCGGUAAUACGUAGGGUGUAAGCGUUAAUCGGAACUACUGGGCGUAAAGCGGGUGUAGGCGGUUCGGAAAGAAAGAUGUGAAAUCCCAGGGCUCAACCUUGGAACUGCAUUUUUAACUGCCGAGCUAGAGUAUGUCAGAGGGGGGUAGAAUUCCACGUGUAGCAGUGAAAUGCGUAGAUAUGUGGAGGAAUACCGAUGGCGAAGGCAGCCCCCUGGGAUAAUACUGACGCUCAGACACGAAAGCGUGGGGAGCAAACAGG
RNAcentral lists this ribosomal RNA (421 nucleotides) under uncultured bacterium. Its description in RNAcentral is "partial 16S ribosomal RNA". It matches the Rfam family "Bacterial small subunit ribosomal RNA", at positions 359 to 776 of the family's 1533-position model. The record is from RNAcentral.